CAGAAGUUGUCAAUUCAUCUUGCUCUGGAGGUGACGGUCAAACCUUGACCACAAAGAGGAUCAAAUUGAGGGAGGCACCCCUCCUACGCAAUAAAUGUCAGGAGCUAGAUGAGAUCUCUCGUGACAGCAACUGGAUACUUCCCAGAUAUACAGUACUACCUUCGGAAGAUGGAAUGUUCCAGACCAGUGUACAUCUGAGGGGUGUGGAUUUUGACUUGAGCAUCGAGGGUGGUCUUCGUAUGACCCCACAAGAAGCAAGGUUGUCUGGGGCUGCCAACAUGAUACUCGAGCUUUCGAGGCAGGCAGAGGAAGAGAAGUCAGAGGACGAAAGCACAAUAAGCGGAGUUGCCUGAUUGUCAGG
Long non-coding RNA from Brachypodium distachyon (stiff brome), 361 nucleotides. RefSeq lists it as uncharacterized. The record is from RefSeq and is a predicted model, not a curated record. NCBI's taxonomy places the organism in Eukaryota, Viridiplantae, Streptophyta, Magnoliopsida, Poales, Poaceae. The transcript has 3 exons.